Molecule: non-coding RNA, 484 nt
Organism: Pelobates cultripes (western spadefoot toad)
Lineage: Eukaryota; Metazoa; Chordata; Amphibia; Anura; Pelobatidae
Source: the annotation of a GenBank genome assembly
AGGUUAUAGAAAAGGAAAAUGCAGGUUGUUUUGACUUAAGAAAAGAUUUAGGAAAGUAAGGUUGCUUAUUAUGCUCAGGGAUUACAACAUAUUAUGUCCAGCUACACAGGCUGAGAGCGAGGAUGGGAUGGAGCACAUAAAGCCAGUGGAAGGGGUGGUCAAAGAGGGGCAAGGGGAUGGAGACAAGGAAAUCAGGGUUAUAGGGGCAGGGGUAACCAAGGAGGAAUAGACAGGAACACUUGUUUCAAUGUGGCCACUGGAGGAAUGAGUGUCCACACCCCAGGAAACCCCACACACCCCAACAACCCCACCUUUCUCAAAAUAUGCCCUGUAGGCAAGAACAACACCAGACCCACUCCCAACACCACUGGCCAGCAUAUCGCUUAGUUCAGGACUUUAGAGCCCUGAAUAGUUUAAUUGUGCCCAUUUCACCCAUUGUCCCUGAUGUGACAUCCCUCAUUACAGCCAUUCCACAUGAUGCCAC